AGAGUUUGUAUCGGCUCAGGAUGAACGCUGGCGGCGUGCUAACACAUGCAAGUCGAGCGAAGCACUCUAAUUCGAUUCUUCGGAUGAAGAUUUUUGUGACUGAGCGGCGGACGGGUGAGUAACGCGUGGGCAACCUGCCUUACACAGGGGGAUAACAGUUAGAAAUGACUGCUAAUACCGCAUAAGACCACGGUACUGCAUGGUACAGUGGUAAAAACUCCGGUGGUGUAAGAUGGGCCCGCGUCUGAUUAGGUAGUUGGCGGGGUAACGGCCCACCAAGCCGACGAUCAGUAGCCGACCUGAGAGGGUGACCGGCCACAUUGGGACUGAGACACGGCCCAGACUCCUACGGGAGGCAGCAGUGGGGAAUACUGCACAAUGGGGGAAACCCUGAUGCAGCGACGCCGCGUGAGCGAUGAAGUAUUUCGGUAUGUAAAGCUCUAUCAGCAGGGAAGAAAAUGACGGUACCUGACUAAGAAGCCCCGGCUAACUACGUG
This 497-nucleotide ribosomal RNA is filed under the name uncultured Dorea sp. RNAcentral describes it as "bacterial SSU rRNA". It matches the Rfam family "Bacterial small subunit ribosomal RNA", at positions 8 to 507 of the family's 1533-position model. The record is from RNAcentral. Lineage: Bacteria; Bacillati; Bacillota; Clostridia; Lachnospirales; Lachnospiraceae.